Molecule: ribosomal RNA, 635 nt
Filed under: uncultured fungus
Lineage: Eukaryota; Fungi
Description: eukaryotic LSU rRNA
Rfam family: Eukaryotic large subunit ribosomal RNA
Source: RNAcentral
ACCCGCUGAACUUAAGCAUAUCAAUAAGCGGAGGAAAAGAAACCAACAGGGAUUGCCCUAGUAACGGCGAGUGAAGCGGCAACAGCUCAAAUUUGAAAUCUGGCUCUUUCAGAGUCCGAGUUGUAAUUUGCAGAGGGCGCUUUGGCUUUGGCAGCGGUCCAAGUUCCUUGGAACAGGACGUCACAGAGGGUGAGAAUCCCGUACGUGGUCGCUAGCUAUUGCCGUGUAAAGCCCCUUCGACGAGUCGAGUUGUUUGGGAAUGCAGCUCUAAAUGGGAGGUAAAUUUCUUCUAAAGCUAAAUAUUGGCCAGAGACCGAUAGCGCACAAGUAGAGUGAUCGAAAGAUGAAAAGCACUUUGGAAAGAGAGUCAAACAGCACGUGAAAUUGUUGAAAGGGAAGCGCUUGCAGCCAGACUUGCUUGCAGUUGCUCAUCCGGGCUUUUGCCCGGUGCACUCUUCUGUAGGCAGGCCAGCAUCAGUUUGGGCGGUGGGAUAAAGGUCUCUGUCACGUACCUCUCUUCGGGGAGGCCUUAUAGGGGAGACGACAUACCACCAGCCUAGACUGAGGUCCGCGCAUCUGCUAGGAUGCUGGCGUAAUGGCUGUAAGCGGCCCGUCUUGAAACACGGACCAAGGAG